RNAcentral lists this long non-coding RNA (1096 nucleotides) under Numida meleagris (helmeted guineafowl). Its description in RNAcentral is "lncRNA (ENSNMEG00000012793.1)". Lineage: Eukaryota; Metazoa; Chordata; Aves; Galliformes; Numididae. The record is from RNAcentral.
CUUUACAAAGCCUUGACCACAGGAGGAAUCCCAUCCACUCAGCAGCAUCUCAGCCCAGGCUGGGCUCGCAGCAUUGGCACUGCUCCAUUGAUUCGAGCAAGCCACGCUCAUUCACAUCACCCGAGGAUCUGACCUCAGGGAGCUGCUGCCUGCAUUUACCAGCUCUCUCCCCAUGUCUGGCACCUGUGAUUAUAUCCUUCAGCUUCACAAUGCAGACUUGCAGAGCAGCAUUUAAUAACAGGGAGGCUUUGACUGACUGGAGCUUUGAUAAUGGUGGUGGGAAAGGCACAAUCACUGCCUUUUCAACAGUAUACUUUGUGCAGAAAGCCUUCGACUGUGUCACAAUCUGAUAAAAAAAAUCCCAGAUUCCACCCAUAAUUAUACCUUCUCUCCUUUACCUAUCCACCUUCUUUUCAAAACUAAGCUAUUGUGGGUGACACCAGCCUUCCGGGAGGUGGGGUGGUGGGACACAAACCUAGAGAGAGGCAGAGGAGAACAAAUUGCCAUUCACCUCGGUUUUCCCUCAGCCCCUCCACCUGUCCAUGCAUGCCAUGGCUUCAUCCAGCAGCCACCCUGAGCUUUGCUAUAGGCUUUGCUAUGCUCCAUCUGCAAUCUGCUGAGAUUUCGGGGUGAAAAACAUCCACUGACUAGUGGCAUUAGUGGGAAGUUAUUGGAAAAGGAAACUCCGAGGAAGCCUGAGGGGUUUAUAGUCAACCAGAAACCAAGCUGAACUGAGUUGUUGCAUGGUGUUCAGCACCCAACAUGACUCCUGGCCAGGAGGAAGAGGAGGGAUGGUGGAUAUGAAAAUAAGAUGGGCACGUGCCCUGCUGCCCUGAGGCUUCCGGGAUGAAGGAUCCCACAGCAGCCCAGAAAACCCUCCCAACUCUUUCUGAAAUGUGAUUUGCCAUGUGGAGCCAGGCACAUGGCUUUUGGGCAGCGUCCGAAGUUUGGUUGGACUUUGGGCUAGUCCUAUAACUCCACAUAGGCUUCAUCUGUCCAACACAGUUCAUAAACAGCUAAGACUGCCCAACUCUCUCCAGAGACAUCCAUGCCCACCCCAGGAGCUAGAGGCUGAAGAGCAUUAAAUGCCUCCAGG